UACGUAGGCAGCAAGCGUUGUUCGGAGUUACUGGGCGUAAAGAGUGCGUAGGCGGUCUUUUAAGUUUGGUGUGAAAUCUCCCGGCUCAACUGGGAGGGUGCGCCGAAAACUGGAAGGCUUGAGGAUGGGAGAGGCAUGCGGAAUUCCUGGUGUAGCGGUGAAAUGCGUAGAUAUCAGGAGGAACACCUGCGGUGUAGACAGCAUGCUGGACCAUUUCUGACGCUGAGGCACGAAAGCGUGGGUAG
RNAcentral lists this ribosomal RNA (245 nucleotides) under uncultured bacterium. Its description in RNAcentral is "partial 16S ribosomal RNA". It matches the Rfam family "Bacterial small subunit ribosomal RNA", at positions 524 to 768 of the family's 1533-position model. The record is from RNAcentral.